GCACCACUAUGCCAGGCUAAUUCUUGUAUUUUUAGUAGAGACAGGGUUUUGCCAUGUUGACCAGGCUGUUCUCAGACUCCUGACCGCAGGUAAUCGCCCUCCUUGGCCUCCCACAGUUCUGGGAUUACAGGCAUGAGCCACCACAUCCGGUGAGAUCUGAUUGUUUAAAAGUUUUGCAGCACCUCUCACUUCACUCUAUUCUUCCUUCCCCAGCCAUGUAAGACAAUCCUGCUUCCCUUUUGCCUUCUACCAUGAUUUUAAGUUUCCUGCGACCGCCCCAGCCAUGCUUCCUGUAAAGCCUGCAGAACUAUUUUUAGACUGUGUUUGACCACAGGCAACUGAAACCGUGGAAUUCAAAACGAUGGAUAAGGGUAACUACUGCCCACACACAUUAAAAAGUCAAAGGUGUCAUUCUUUGUUGUCAUGUUUGACUACUAGAGUCUGUGUACCAUGAGGGCAGCAGCUGUCACAUUCGUGCCUGGUACAAAGUAGAGAGCCGCUAACAGAAUACUGGCCUGAAGGCAUGAAUGAAUCAAUAGCAGGUAAGUGGGGAAACUCCCAGGAUUGAAUGCAAAUACUGAUUAUAAAGAAUUAGUCCUGAAGGUGGAAUCCUUCUCCUCUGCUGACAAGGCAAACAAAGCCAAUUUUUGGGAAAAUGACAUUAUAAAUAACAUUAGUGGUGGAAUUUAGUGGACAAAUGAGACAGCCCAUGUAAAAAGACAAAAAUUUCUCUAUGUGAAGUUUUAGAUUAUUUUUGCUGAAUGUAAAAUUCUUUUAUAUAUGUUUAUACAAAGGAAUAUUUUAUUAUAUAGGCAGAAAUGCAGGAUAGGGAACUUUGAAAAAGAAAAGCAAUUGAAAUUCUGUACG
Molecule: long non-coding RNA, 867 nt
Filed under: Callithrix jacchus (white-tufted-ear marmoset)
Lineage: Eukaryota; Metazoa; Chordata; Mammalia; Primates; Cebidae
Description: lncRNA (ENSCJAG00000085258.1)
Source: RNAcentral